Molecule: transfer RNA, 74 nt
Filed under: Welwitschia mirabilis
Lineage: Eukaryota; Viridiplantae; Streptophyta; Gnetopsida; Welwitschiales; Welwitschiaceae
Description: tRNA-Pro
Rfam family: tRNA
About the family: Transfer RNA (tRNA) molecules are approximately 80 nucleotides in length. Their secondary structure includes four short double-helical elements and three loops (D, anti-codon, and T loops).
Source: RNAcentral
CGGGGUAUAACGCAGAUUGGCAGCGUGACAUCAUGGGGUGGUGUAAGUCACGGGUUCGAUUCCCGUUGCUCCGA